ACAAGUGCAUGUGGUGGAUGCCUUGGCGAUCACAGGCGAUGAAGGACGCGGUAGCCUGCGAAAAGCUACGGGGAGCUGGCAAACGAGCUUUGAUCCGUAGAUGUCCGAAUGGGGAAACCCACUCCUUUUGGAGUAUCCAUAGCUGAAUACAUAGGCUAUGUGAAGCGAACGCGGU
RNAcentral lists this ribosomal RNA (175 nucleotides) under Burkholderia gladioli. RNAcentral describes it as "partial 23S ribosomal RNA". It matches the Rfam family "Bacterial large subunit ribosomal RNA", at positions 13 to 189 of the family's 2925-position model. Lineage: Bacteria; Pseudomonadati; Pseudomonadota; Betaproteobacteria; Burkholderiales; Burkholderiaceae. The record is from RNAcentral.